AUUAUUAAAUUAAAAUAGAAAUAAAUAAAUCUUAAAAAAAUUAUUAGAUUUAAUAAUAUUAUUUCAGAAGUUUUUUAAAAACUGAAAAUAAUAUAUAUAUUUAUUUAUAAAAAAGAUAUAUUUUUUAAUAUUUAUUUUAAAUAAUUAUUUGAUAGUCUAUAGAAAAUAAUAAUUACAAGUUUAAAAAUAUAUUUAUAUAUUUAUAUUAAUUAACAUUAUGGGUAUUUAAUAAUA
Molecule: transfer RNA, 234 nt
Filed under: Pneumocystis jirovecii
Lineage: Eukaryota; Fungi; Ascomycota; Pneumocystomycetes; Pneumocystales; Pneumocystaceae
Description: tRNA-Pseudo(TAA)
Source: RNAcentral